UACGUAGGCAGCAAGCGUUGUUCGGAGUUACUGGGCGUAAAGGGUGUGUAGGCGGCCUUCUAAGUUCGGUGUGAAAUCUCCCGGCUCAACCGGGAGGGUGCGCCGGAAACUGGCAGGCUAGAGUGUGGGAGAGGAAAGUGGAAUUCCUGGUGUAGCGGUGAAAUGCGUAGAUAUCAGGAGGAACACCGGUGGUGUAGACGGCUUUCUGGACCAUAACUGACGCUGAGACACGAAAGCGUGGGUAGCAAACAGG
This 253-nucleotide ribosomal RNA is filed under the name uncultured bacterium. RNAcentral describes it as "partial 16S ribosomal RNA". It matches the Rfam family "Bacterial small subunit ribosomal RNA", at positions 524 to 776 of the family's 1533-position model. The record is from RNAcentral.